CCUACGGGAGGCAGCAGUGGGGAAUAUUGCGCAAUGGGCGAAAGCCUGACGCAGCGACGCCGCGUGAGGGAUGAAGGUCUUCGGAUCGUAAACCUCUGUCAGCAGGGAAGAACGGUCACUGUGCUAAUCAGCAGUGAAUUGACGGUACCUGCAAAGGAAGCACCGGCUAACUCCGUGCCAGCAGCCGCGGGAAUACGGAGGGUGCGAGCGUUAAUCGGAAUUACUGGGCGUAAAGCGCUCGUAGGCGGUAUGUCAAGUCAAUGGUGAAAUCCCCGCGCGCAACGUUGGAACUGCCUUUGAAACUGUCAAACUUGAGUGUGUAAGAGGAUAGUGGAAUUCCAGGUGUAGGAGUGAAAUCCGUAGAUAUCUGGAGGAACAUCAGUGGCGAAGGCGACUAUCUGGCACAUAACUGACGCUGAGGAGCGAAAGCGUGGGUAGCAAACAGGAUUAGAUACCCCUGUAGUC
RNAcentral lists this ribosomal RNA (465 nucleotides) under uncultured bacterium. RNAcentral describes it as "partial 16S ribosomal RNA". It matches the Rfam family "Bacterial small subunit ribosomal RNA", at positions 338 to 795 of the family's 1533-position model. The record is from RNAcentral.